GUGAGGAAUAUUGGUCAAUGGGCGCAAGCCUGAACCAGCCAAGUCGCGUGAGGGAAGACGGUCCUAUGGAUUGUAAACCUCUUUUGUCGGGGAGCAAAGCGCGGUACGAGUACCGCGAAGGAGAGUACCCGAAGAAAAAGCAUCGGCUAACUCCGUGCCAGCAGCCGCGGUAAUACGGAGGAUGCGAGCGUUAUCCGGAUUUAUUGGGUUUAAAGGGUGCGUAGGCGGAUUUGUAAGUCAGCGGUAAAAAUGCGGUGCUCAACGCCGUAUCGCCGUUGAAACUGCAGGUCUUGAGUGAGCGAGAAGUAUGCGGAAUGCGUGGUGUAGCGGUGAAAUGCAUAGAUAUCACGCAGAACUCCGAUUGUGAAGGCAGCAUACCGGCGCUCAACUGACGCUGAGGCACGAAAGCGUGGGGAUCGAACAGG
RNAcentral lists this ribosomal RNA (425 nucleotides) under uncultured bacterium. RNAcentral describes it as "bacterial SSU rRNA". It matches the Rfam family "Bacterial small subunit ribosomal RNA", at positions 354 to 776 of the family's 1533-position model. The record is from RNAcentral.